Molecule: non-coding RNA, 218 nt
Organism: Pelobates cultripes (western spadefoot toad)
Lineage: Eukaryota; Metazoa; Chordata; Amphibia; Anura; Pelobatidae
Source: the annotation of a GenBank genome assembly
GUGGGGGGGUCCCCCUAGCCCGAGAGCUGUGUAUGCGUGUUUGAGGUUGGACUCAACCCAUGACUGGUAAAGAAAGACCGGGGAGGGGGGUGGGGGGGAGAAAGGCUACUCCGCCAUGGCUGUGAGCAGAUUGGUAUAGCCUCGUUGUAGUUGUGUCGUGAUAGCCUAUCUGUGUGUGAACUUGUCGAGUUCUUCUGUGCGGGCGGCCUAUUUGUGUG